CUACGUGCCAGCAGCCGCGGUAAUACGUAGGGUGCGAGCGUUAAUCGGAAUUACUGGGCGUAAAGCGGGCGCAGACGGUUACUUAAGCAGGAUGUGAAAUCCCCGGGCUCAACCUGGGAACUGCGUUNUGAACUGGGUAACUAGAGUGUGUCAGAGGGAGGUAGAAUUCCACGUGUAGCAGUGAAAUGCGUAGAGAUGUGGAGGAAUACCGAAGGCGAAGGCAGCCCCUUGGGAAUGUACUGACGCUCAUGUGCGAAAGCGUGGGGAGCAAACAGGAUUAGAUACCCUGGUAGUCCACGCUGUAAACGAUGUCGAUUUGGGGGUUGAGCUUUGAGCUUGGCGCCCGUAGCUAACGUGAUAAAUCGACCGCCUGGGGAGUACGGCCGCAAGGUUAAAACUCAAAUGAAUUGACGGGGGCCCGCACAAGCGGUGGAGCAUGUGGUUUAAUUCGAUGCAACGCGAAGAACCUUACCUACUCUUGACAUCCAGA
Molecule: ribosomal RNA, 490 nt
Filed under: uncultured bacterium
Lineage: Bacteria
Description: bacterial SSU rRNA
Rfam family: Bacterial small subunit ribosomal RNA
Source: RNAcentral